UACGAAGGACCCGAGCGUUAUCCGGAUUUAUUGGGUUUAAAGGGUGCGUAGGCGGAUUAGUAAGUCAGUGGUGAAAGCCCAUCGCUUAACGGUGGAAUUGCCAUUGAUACUGCUAGUCUUGAGUAUGGUUGAGGUGGGCGGAAUGUGUCAUGUAGCGGUGAAAUGCUUAGAUAUGACCCAGAACACCAAUUGCGAAGGCAGCUCGCUAAGCCAUAACUGACGCUGAUGCACGAAAGCGUGGGGAGCAAACAGG
RNAcentral lists this ribosomal RNA (253 nucleotides) under uncultured bacterium. Its description in RNAcentral is "partial 16S ribosomal RNA". It matches the Rfam family "Bacterial small subunit ribosomal RNA", at positions 524 to 776 of the family's 1533-position model. RNAcentral also lists the same sequence under 1 other name. The record is from RNAcentral.